This is a non-coding RNA of Cricetulus griseus (Chinese hamster), 285 nucleotides long. The record is from RefSeq and is a predicted model, not a curated record. NCBI's taxonomy places the organism in Eukaryota, Metazoa, Chordata, Mammalia, Rodentia, Cricetidae.
UGGAUCUCUUACGCUGUGAAAGCCUUCUUGGUUUAGACCCGGCGACUUGUAGCAGAGUUCUCAACAAAAAUUACACGCUGCUUGUUUCCAUGGCACCCCUUACCAAUGAAAUCCGGCCAGUCAGCAGCUGUACCCCUCAGCAUAUUGGACCAGCUAUCCCAGAAGUGAGUUCUGUGUGGUUUAAACUGUACAUUUACCAUGUCACUGGGCAAGGACCGCCAUCUCUCUUACUGUCCAAAGGUACAAGACUGCGGAAACUGCCAGACAUAUUCCAGGGUUAUGAUC